Molecule: long non-coding RNA, 1034 nt
Filed under: Equus caballus (horse)
Lineage: Eukaryota; Metazoa; Chordata; Mammalia; Perissodactyla; Equidae
Description: lncRNA (ENSECAG00000046758.1)
Source: RNAcentral
AAGAAAGGUGAUUGUUAUUUUCAUCUGUUACAUGGAGAUAAUUGUAGCUCUUAUACAUAAUUCAUGUAAAGCACUUGUGUAAAGACGAGUGCCUAGCAUAAAGUGAGUGCUCCAUUCCUGUUAGCUUCCAUCAUCAUCAUCAUAUCACCCUUGUCCCUGGCUGUAGAUUUGACAUAAAUUCCAUGGACACAAUAUGUAAAUCAUAUGGACAUCGUCUGAGAAGAGUCUGUCUCCUCUGGUAGCUCUUUAGGAUAAACUGAAAACUUCUGAGCCUGCUUGCCUCUGGCUCCUUCGUUUUAAAUCCUGGAAUUUCCAAGGUUACGACAAAUUUAGGACUUCCACGUGAGAUACAGGCAAAGAACCGUUCCCUCCUCUCACCAGAACUGAAACUCUGAGGCUAUGAGUCUGGAGCUUCUGGCAGCCAAUGUGCUUCCAUGAGGAGAAAGCCAGCCUGAGAAACAAACCUGGAAAGCAGAGUCAAGAGAGGAGAGAAAAGAGGGAUAAUGACAAGCCACUGGGACUCCAUGCUCCUUUGCUGAGACUUCUGAGAUAGACCUUGACCUAGGGACUGACUUCUCAGCCUGGGUACAAGGCUGACCUGCUUCUCCGAAGUUCCUGAGCUUUGAGGACCCAAUUGUAAAAUCAUUUUGACUCGACCAGACCUAAAGCUGGGAAGGGACACUAUGCAAUGGCAGGAAUACAAGUUUGUGGUGAGUUGGAGGCAUAUAUCUCUCCAUAAUAAAUGAGCAUUGUAUAAUAGGGACCAGUGUUAAUAGCAGAAGAGUGUUAGGCAGAGGAGUUUGGGGAAUUGCAUCAUGAGACAGUCUGGAUCUGAAAUCUGCUGGAGGAUUCCAAGAUUCAAGAUGUGAUGUAUCUCCCAAGUCGCAAUAAGCUCCCCCAAGCUUUCACGACUGCUAUAGUACAGGGUCUUGGCUGUAUUCUCAUUCCUUCAGCCAGCAGAAUGUCUUCACGCCAAAAGAUUUAGCCAUUGCUCUUUCUGCAGUCAUCUGGAGUCAUCUCCAGUCUUUAAGGCA